UACGAAGGGGGCUAGCGUUGCUCGGAAUCACUGGGCGUAAAGCGCACGUAGGCGGCUUUCUAAGUCAGGGGUGAAAUCCUGGAGCUCAACUCCAGAACUGCCUUUGAUACUGGAGAGCUUGAGUCCGGAAGAGGUGAGUGGAACUCCGAGUGUAGAGGUGAAAUUUGUAGAUAUUCGGAAGAACACCAGUGGCGAAGGCGGCUCACUGGUCCGGUACUGACGCUGAUGUGCGAAAGCGUGGGGAGCAAACAGG
RNAcentral lists this ribosomal RNA (253 nucleotides) under uncultured bacterium. RNAcentral's name for it is "partial 16S ribosomal RNA". It matches the Rfam family "Bacterial small subunit ribosomal RNA", at positions 524 to 776 of the family's 1533-position model. The record is from RNAcentral.